GGCUAUUUCAGCUUCACCCUAACGUUUG
This 28-nucleotide small RNA is filed under the name Bombyx mori (domestic silkworm). RNAcentral describes it as "ovarian small RNA-17460". The record is from RNAcentral. Lineage: Eukaryota; Metazoa; Arthropoda; Insecta; Lepidoptera; Bombycidae.